AACGCACCUUGCGCCUCUUGGCUAUUCCGAGAGGCAUGCCUGUUUGAGUAUCAUGAACACCUCAACUCUCACGGUUUGCCCGUGAUGAGCUUGGACUUCUGGAGGUUUUGCCGGCCUGCGGUCGGCUCCUCUCAAAUCGAUCAGCUUACCAGUGUUUGGUGGCGUCAUGGGUGUGAUAACUAUCUACGCUUGUGGCCGUCCGCCAGGUAACCUUCAGCGAUGGAGGUUUGCUGGGGCUCACAAACGUCUCUCCCCAGCGAAGACAGCUUUUUGAACGUUCGAUCUCAAAUCAGGUAGGACUACCCGCUGAACUUAA
This 316-nucleotide unclassified non-coding RNA is filed under the name Mycena sp. RNAcentral describes it as "partial contains 5.8S ribosomal RNA, internal transcribed spacer 2, and large subunit ribosomal RNA". RNAcentral also lists the same sequence under 1 other name. Lineage: Eukaryota; Fungi; Basidiomycota; Agaricomycetes; Agaricales; Mycenaceae. The record is from RNAcentral.